This 503-nucleotide long non-coding RNA is filed under the name Erythranthe guttata (spotted monkey flower). Its description in RNAcentral is "long non-coding RNA (EGUT_LNC002863)". The record is from RNAcentral. Lineage: Eukaryota; Viridiplantae; Streptophyta; Magnoliopsida; Lamiales; Phrymaceae.
AAGAUGCAUUUCUUGUUUGUUAGAUUACGUUGUCUAAUGCCAAUAGCACCAAGAACUCAUCACAAACUCUACAUGGCUCAUGCAUAAUCGUGGAAGGCAAGAGUAUUUUUUCUUUCUAUUGUGAUAGAUUACACAUACUAAGUAGAAGGGAAUAAUUAUAAAUUAUUUUUCCAUAUUCACGACAUCUGCACAUUGGAAUUUACUGAUUGUUAAAUAAAUUUCUUGCUCACAGGGUCUCGUGUAAAUUUUGUUCGAGUUCAAAUUUGAGGCCUCAAUGCAGCAGCGGUCUGAUCGAAACCAGCUUUCUACAUCGACAAGCUCGAGCACGUAAAUGAGAAGGAUAUUUAUCUUGAACAUAGUUACAAAACAAAUAUUUUUUUUAACUUGUAUCGAAUUGAAAAAUUAGGUGGCUUUCUUAAAUUUUAAUGCAAAACUCAUUCGAGUUUUCUUUCGGUCUAUGUAUUAUAUAUUUUGACUAUUGUGGAAUCGUAUGUGAAUUUGGU